This 482-nucleotide ribosomal RNA is filed under the name uncultured bacterium. RNAcentral's name for it is "partial 16S ribosomal RNA". It matches the Rfam family "Bacterial small subunit ribosomal RNA", at positions 30 to 507 of the family's 1533-position model. The record is from RNAcentral.
AUUGAACGCUGGCGGCAUGCCUUACACAUGCAAGUCGAACGGUAACGGGCCUUCGGGUGCCGACGAGUGGCGAACGGGUGAGUAAUACAUCGGAACGUGCCCGAUCGUGGGGGAUAACGAGGCGAAAGCUUUGCUAAUACCGCAUACGAUCUACGGAUGAAAGCAGGGGACCGCAAGGCCUUGCGCGGACGGAGCGGCCGAUGGCAGAUUAGGUAGUUGGUGGGAUAAAAGCUUACCAAGCCGACGAUCGGUAGCUGGUCUGAGAGGAUGAUCAGCCACACUGGGACUGAGACACGGCCCAGACUCCUACGGGAGGCAGCAGUGGGGAAUUUUGGACAAUGGGCGCAAGCCUGAUCCAGCCAUGCCGCGUGCAGGAUGAAGGCCUUCGGGUUGUAAACUGCUUUUGUACGGAACGAAAAGCCUUCUUUUAAUACAGGAGGGUCAUGACGGUACCGUAAGAAUAAGCACCGGCUAACUACGUG